This 343-nucleotide unclassified non-coding RNA is filed under the name soil metagenome. Its description in RNAcentral is "partial contains 5.8S ribosomal RNA, internal transcribed spacer 2, and large subunit ribosomal RNA". The stretch from base 1 to 120 matches the Rfam family "5.8S ribosomal RNA", at positions 35 to 154 of the family's 154-position model. The record is from RNAcentral.
GAUGAAGAACGUAGCGAAAUGCGAUACGUAAUGUGAAUUGCAGAAUUCGGUGAAUCAUCGAGUCUUUGAACGCACAUUGCGCCCCCUGGUAUUCCGGGGGGCAUGCCUGUCCGAGCGUCAUUGCUGCCCUCAAGCACGGCUUGUGUGUUGGGCCUCCGUCCUCCUCCCGGGGGACGGGCCCGAAAGGCAGCGGCGGCACCGCGUCCGGUCCUCGAGCGUAUGGGGCUUCGUCACCCGCUCUUGUAGGCCCGGCCGGCGCUUGCCGACACAUCAAUCUUUUUUCCAGGUUGACCUCGGAUCAGGUAGGGAUACCCGCUGAACUUAAGCAUAUCAAUAAGCGGAA